This 71-nucleotide transfer RNA is filed under the name Hordeum vulgare. RNAcentral's name for it is "tRNA-Pro". The record is from RNAcentral. Lineage: Eukaryota; Viridiplantae; Streptophyta; Magnoliopsida; Poales; Poaceae.
AGAAAUAUGUAUAGUGGUAUGAUUCUCGCUUUGGGUGUGGGAGGUCUCGAGUUCAACUCUCGAAAUGCCUC